Molecule: ribosomal RNA, 274 nt
Filed under: uncultured bacterium
Lineage: Bacteria
Description: partial 16S ribosomal RNA
Rfam family: Bacterial small subunit ribosomal RNA
Source: RNAcentral
AUACGGAGGGGGUUAGCGUUGUUCGGAAUUACUGGGCGUAAAGCGUACGUAGGCGGAUCGGAAAGUAAGGGGUGAAAUCCCAGGGCUCAACCCUGGAACUGCCUCUUAAACUCCCGGUCUUGAGUUAGAGAGAGGUGAGUGGAAUUCCUAGUGUAGAGGUGAAAUUCGUAGAUAUUAGGAGGAACACCAGUGGCGAAGGCGGCUCACUGGCUCGAUACUGACGCUGAGGUACGAAAGUGUGGGGAGCAAACAGGAUUAGAUACCCUAGUAGUCC